This 779-nucleotide ribosomal RNA is filed under the name uncultured Neocallimastigales. RNAcentral's name for it is "partial large subunit ribosomal RNA". It matches the Rfam family "Eukaryotic large subunit ribosomal RNA", at positions 19 to 646 of the family's 3401-position model. Lineage: Eukaryota; Fungi; Neocallimastigomycota; Neocallimastigomycetes; Neocallimastigales. The record is from RNAcentral.
CGAGCACGCGCGUGUGGCAUAUCAAUAAGCGGAGGAAAAGAAACUAACAAGGAUUCCCUUAGUAACGGCGAGUGAAGCGGGAAGAGCUCAAAUUUGAAAUCUUCAAGGUUCUACCUUGACGAAUUGUAGUUUAUAGAAGUGUUUUCUGUUAGUGGAGUGGCAAAAGUUCUUUGGAAUAGGACAUCAUAGAGGGUGAGAAUCCCGUAUUUGGUCAUUCCUCCUAGCGUUGUGAUACACUUUCAACGAGUCGGAUUGUUUGGGAAUGCAGUCCAAAAUGGGUGGUAAAUUUCAUCUAAAGCUAAAUAUUGGCGAGAGACCGAUAGCGAACAAGUACCGUGAGGGAAAGAUGAAAAGAACUUUGAAAAGAGAGUUAAACAGUACGUGAAAUUGAUCAAAAGGGAAGCGUUUGACACCAGUGUUGUUUUUCCGAAAAUCAAUUACGAAUGUUUUAGUUUUUGAGGAGUUAUGACUUCAUCGGCUUGCUCCUUUCUUUAUGAAACUUUCUUAAUGCACUUUUCGGUUAACAAGUCAACAUCAAUUUCUUUUGUUGUAAAAGGGUAUGAGGAAGGUGGCUUUCUUUUCGGAGAAAGUGUUUAUAGCCUUGUAGCCUCUGCAAUCGGAGAGAUUGAGGUCUGCAGCGUAGAUCCUUCGGGGUUAGGAUACAGUUUGUGCUAAGUUAUAGCUUUUCAUAGACAACUUGUUGACUAUGUUAAGUCUUGUAGCUUACUCGCUUAUGCUAUUUUACCUACGCUUAGGAUGUUGAUGUGAUACUGCGAGCA